UGGUGGAGUGAUUUGUCUGGUUAAUUCCGUUAACGAACGAGACCUCAGCCUGCUAAUUACUCGUAGUUAAUGCUUGCAUUGACUCAAGUUCUUAGAGGGACUAUCGGUUUCCAGCCGUUGGAAGUAUGAGGCAAUAACA
RNAcentral lists this ribosomal RNA (139 nucleotides) under uncultured eukaryote. RNAcentral's name for it is "partial 18S ribosomal RNA". It matches the Rfam family "Eukaryotic small subunit ribosomal RNA", at positions 1299 to 1458 of the family's 1831-position model. The record is from RNAcentral.